RNAcentral lists this ribosomal RNA (497 nucleotides) under uncultured bacterium. RNAcentral's name for it is "partial 16S ribosomal RNA". It matches the Rfam family "Bacterial small subunit ribosomal RNA", at positions 28 to 507 of the family's 1533-position model. The record is from RNAcentral.
GAUGAACGCUGGCGGCGUGCCUAAUACAUGCAAGUCGAGCGAACGGACGAGAAGCUUGCUUCUCUGAUGUUAGCGGCGGACGGGUGAGUAACACGUGGAUAACCUACCUAUAAGACUGGGAUAACUUCGGGACACCGGAGCUAAUACCGGAUAAUCUUUUGAACCGCAUGGUUCAAAAGUGAAAGACGGUCUUGCUGUCACUUCUAGCUGGAUCCGCGCUGCAUUAGCUAGUUGGUAAGGUCACGGCUUACCAAGGCAACGAUGCAUAGCCGACCUGAGAGGGUGAUCGGCCACACGGGAACGGAGACAGGGUCCAGACUCCUACGGGAGGCAGCAGUAGGGAAUCUUCCGCAAUGGGCGAAAGCCUGACGGAGCAACGCCGCGUGAGUGAUGAAGGUCUUCGGAUCGUAAAACUCUGUUAUUAGGGAAGAACAGAUGUGUAAGGAACUGUGCACAUCUUGACGGUACCUAAUCAGAAAGCCACGGCUAACUACGUG